GUUCCAGCAGCACAAUGGAUAGUGUGCGUUUUACUUCUAAUCCAAAGGUUGUGGAUUCGAAUUCCAUCUGGAAUG
Molecule: non-coding RNA, 75 nt
Organism: Trichonephila clavipes
Lineage: Eukaryota; Metazoa; Arthropoda; Arachnida; Araneae; Nephilidae
Source: the annotation of a GenBank genome assembly